UACGUAGGGUGCAAGCGUUAAUCGGAAUUACUGGGCGUAAAGCGUGCGCAGGCGGUUGUGCAAGACAGAUGUGAAAUCCCCGGGCUCAACCUGGGAACUGCAUUUGUGACUGCACGGCUGGAGUGCGGCAGAGGGGGAUGGAAUUCCGCGUGUAGCAGUGAAAUGCGUAGAUAUGCGGAGGAACACCGAUGGCGAAGGCAAUCCCCUGGGCCUGCACCGACGCUCAUGCACGAAAGCGUGGGGAGCAAACAGG
This 253-nucleotide ribosomal RNA is filed under the name uncultured bacterium. RNAcentral's name for it is "partial 16S ribosomal RNA". It matches the Rfam family "Bacterial small subunit ribosomal RNA", at positions 524 to 776 of the family's 1533-position model. The record is from RNAcentral.